GCUAGCUGUAUGCCUAACACAUGCAAGUCGUACGAGAGUUUUUAACUCUAGUGGCGGACGGGUGAGUAACACGUGAGAAUUUACCUUUAGGAGGGGGAUAACAAUUGGAAACGAAUGCUAAUACCCCAUAUGCUUUCGAGUGAAAUGGAUUUAUAUUUAUUCGCCUAGAGAGAAGCUCGCGGCUGAUUAGCUUGUUGGUAAGGUAAGAGCUUACCAAGGCGACGAUCAGUAUCUGGUUUGAGAGGACGAUCAGACACACUGGAACUGAGACACGGUCCAGACUCCUACGGGAGGCAGCAGUGGGGAAUUUUCCGCA
RNAcentral lists this ribosomal RNA (316 nucleotides) under uncultured cyanobacterium. Its description in RNAcentral is "bacterial SSU rRNA". It matches the Rfam family "Bacterial small subunit ribosomal RNA", at positions 35 to 370 of the family's 1533-position model. The record is from RNAcentral. Lineage: Bacteria; Bacillati; Cyanobacteriota.